CCUACGGGAGGCAGCAGUGGGGGAUAUUGCACAAUGGGGGGAACCCUGAUGCAGCGACGCCGCGUGGGUGAAGAAGCGCCUCGGCGCGUAAAGCCCUGUCAGCAGGGAAGAAAAUGACGGUACCUGAAGAAUAAGCCCCGGCUAACUACGUGCCAGCAGCCGCGGUAAUACGUAGGGGGCAAGCGUUAUCCGGAUUUACUGGGUGUAAAGGGGGCGCAGGCGGGGGUGCAAGGCAGGGGUGAAAGCCAGGGGCCCAACCCCGGGACUGCUCUUGGAACUGCUGGGCUGGAGUUCGGGAGGGGCAGGCGGAAUUCCUGGUGUAGCGGUGAAAUGCGUAGAUAUCAGGAGGAACACCGAUGGCGAAGGCGGCCUGCUGGACUGCAACUGACGUUGAGGCCCGAAAGCGUGGGGAGCAAACAGGAUUAGAUACCCGAGUAGUC
Molecule: ribosomal RNA, 440 nt
Filed under: uncultured bacterium
Lineage: Bacteria
Description: partial 16S ribosomal RNA
Rfam family: Bacterial small subunit ribosomal RNA
Source: RNAcentral